CCUACGGGAGGCAGCAGUGGGGAAUCUUGCACAAUGGGCGAAACCCUGAUGCAGCGACGCCGCGUGAGGGAAGAAGGACUUCGUUAUGUAAAGCUCUUUCAUAAGGGAAGAAAAUGACGGUACCUGAGGAAGAAGCCCCGGCUAACUACGUGCCAGCAGCCGCGGUAAUACGUAGGGUGCAAGCGUUAUCCGGAUUUACUGGGUGUAAAGGGAGGGUAGACGGAAGUGCAAGUCUGGAGUGAAAGGCGGGGGCUCAACCCUCGGAAUGGUCUGGAAACUGUUAGGCUGGAGUGCAGGAGAGGUAAGUGGAAUUCCUAGUGUAGCGGUGAAAUGCGUAGAUAUUAGGAGGAACACCAGUGGCGAAGGCAGCUUACUGGACUGUAACUGACGUUGAGGCUCGAAAGCGUGGGGAGCAAACAGGAUUAGAUACCCUGGUAGUC
RNAcentral lists this ribosomal RNA (440 nucleotides) under uncultured bacterium. RNAcentral describes it as "partial 16S ribosomal RNA". It matches the Rfam family "Bacterial small subunit ribosomal RNA", at positions 338 to 795 of the family's 1533-position model. The record is from RNAcentral.